RNAcentral lists this ribosomal RNA (520 nucleotides) under uncultured Vagococcus sp. RNAcentral describes it as "bacterial SSU rRNA". It matches the Rfam family "Bacterial small subunit ribosomal RNA", at positions 28 to 521 of the family's 1533-position model. Lineage: Bacteria; Bacillati; Bacillota; Bacilli; Lactobacillales; Enterococcaceae. The record is from RNAcentral.
GACGAACGCUGGCGGCGUGCCUAAUACAUGCAAGUCGAACGCUUUGAUUUUCACCGGAGCUUGCUCCACCGAAAAUCAAAGAGUGGCGGACGGGUGAGUAACACGUGGGCAACCUGCCCAACAGAGGGGGAUAACACUUGGAAACAGGUGCUAAUACCGCAUAAUUUGUUUUCCCGCAUGGGAGAAUAAUAAAAGACGCUUCGGUGUCACUGUUGGAUGGGCCCGCGCUGCAUUAGUUAGUUGGUGGGGUAAUGGCCUACCAAGACCGUGAUGCAUAGCCGACCUGAGAGGGUGAUCGGCCACACUGGGACUGAGACACGGCCCAGACUCCUACGGGAGGCAGCAGUAGGGAAUCUUCGGCAAUGGACGAAAGUCUGACCGAGCAACGCCGCGUGAGUGAAGAAGGUUUUCGGAUCGUAAAACUCUGUUGUUAGAAAAGAACAAGUGGGAGAGUAACUGUUCCCACCUUGACGGUAUCUAACCAGAAAGCCACGGCUAACUACGUGCCAGCCGCCGCGGU